Molecule: ribosomal RNA, 546 nt
Filed under: Trichoderma asperellum
Lineage: Eukaryota; Fungi; Ascomycota; Sordariomycetes; Hypocreales; Hypocreaceae
Description: eukaryotic LSU rRNA
Rfam family: 5.8S ribosomal RNA (bases 171-324)
Source: RNAcentral
CCCAAACCCAAUGUGAACGUUACCAAACUGUUGCCUCGGCGGGGUCACGCCCCGGGUGCGUCGCAGCCCCGGAACCAGGCGCCCGCCGGAGGAACCAACCAAACUCUUUCUGUAGUCCCCUCGCGGACGUAUUUCUUUACAGCUCUGAGCAAAAAUUCAAAAUGAAUCAAAACUUUCAACAACGGAUCUCUUGGUUCUGGCAUCGAUGAAGAACGCAGCGAAAUGCGAUAAGUAAUGUGAAUUGCAGAAUUCAGUGAAUCAUCGAAUCUUUGAACGCACAUUGCGCCCGCCAGUAUUCUGGCGGGCAUGCCUGUCCGAGCGUCAUUUCAACCCUCGAACCCCUCCGGGGGAUCGGCGUUGGGGAUCGGGACCCCUCACACGGGUGCCGGCCCCUAAAUACAGUGGCGGUCUCGCCGCAGCCUCUCCUGCGCAGUAGUUUGCACAACUCGCACCGGGAGCGCGGCGCGUCCACGUCCGUAAAACACCCAACUUUCUGAAAUGUUGACCUCGGAUCAGGUAGGAAUACCCGCUGAACUUAAGCAUACA